UCUUUCUCUUUCUCUUUCUCUUUCUCUUUCUCUUUCUCUUUCUCUUCCUCUUUCUCUGUGAUGUAUUUCCCCAAAUACAUCACAAAUACAUCACAAAUACAUCACAAAAUGACUUUUCUCAGUACCCAACCAUCUCAUACCUCCUUGUUCUGUUCUCACCUGUUUGAUCAUAGAGUAGCUAUCAGUAGCAAUCAUUUUGUAAACAAAUGGGAAUGUAGGGAUUUAGGGAUGAUUUGCAGGACUUUGGUACAAAUAGUAAUAAUGAGGGAGAGUGGGAAGACAUUCUGAUCAUCAGUGACCUUUUGGGAGCAGUAUUUGCCUUGUGUUUUUAGAGUGAUGUGCAUGCUGUUGCUGUCUUCAAAAAGGAAAAGAGAGCUCUACAGCAGAAGCCAGGAGGUGAGCUGGGCUGGCCUCUCUCUGCCUGCCUAUGCUCCUUUCUUCCCCCUGGAAAGUUCACUACGUGAGGUUUUGGCAGGCUUCCUUGAUGUAUGGGUAUGGAAAGCUACAACUAACUCCCCAGAUGAUUGAUUUUCACCAUUUCUUCUGUCACAUUGGUCUGGCAACAGGGGAAAUAGCUGUGGCUGUGACUGUGGUGAGAGCAGCACAACCACCCCAUCCUGCUCUGAGUCCUCACCUCCUCUGCAGCAUUGCCUCACAGACCCUUGUACACCCUAAGAGCAGCAGUCAGCAACCAGCCAUGGUGACCUGGGUUUAAUUUGUAUGCAACUGAAUACAAUUAGUCCCCAGAGAAACUUGAGUUGCUUUUUUGUUUCACAAAAAAUAAAAUAAAAUAAAAUAAAAAAUAAUAAAAAAAAAUCACUAAUGCUGAAGUUCUGGCACGUGCUCCAGCCUUCCAGCUUUCCAGCUCAAGUCCCCCCCUCCUCAUGCUGGCAAUGUGUGAGUUCAGCCGAAAGCGAACUAUGUGUACAACGCAUUUGAGUGCUCCUUGGGAAAUGGGCUUGUGUUUUUCCCUUCUAAAUGUCUGUAACCACAACUGUCUUCGAAUGCAUCCCUGCUCCGAGCUUUAGAGGAGAAAACGGUCGUUAACGUGGUCAUUAAUGUGUGUUAUCCAAGCACAUACCUAAGGCAAAUACAAGUAUAACAGUAUUGCAAAGGUUAACCUGGACAUCAAAGGCAUGACCUCGUCCUUGACAAAAUAAAGCCUCCUGGCAGCCUUUCAGCCCGAUCUGGAUACAAACCUAAGGGCGGAGAGGAGUGAUGUUCCGCCGGUGGGAGCCGGGCUGAAAACGGCUGCAUGGCAUCCAUCCUACCGCUUAGUUCGGGACCUCUCCCUCGGACAAACGGCCCCACCUAGCGGCGGUGCCGCGCGCCGUGCCGGACCUUCGGUGACGUCACCAAGAGAUGGUGUGACGUCACAGCACGGGGCUCCCCUUCCCCAAUCCCGGGGAGGCCCAGGAGCUUCCCGAACGGAUGUGUCAGCUCGCGAUAGGCGAUAGGAGCAGAGUGGGGAUGGGGUGCAUCGCACCCCCCUCUCCCCACGGUCACCUGCAGAAUCACCUGCAAGUUCCUGCUGCACUCCCUGAGAACCGCUGAAAAUGUCUGGUGCUGUGAGCUCCUGGAGGAGCUCUUUGUGACGGGGAGCUGCCAAAUGUUGCUCCCGGUUUUGCUGCUGGCUGGAUUUACUGUGUGAUAUCAAAUGCAUCGCAGUAGUUUGAGGCACGGGGGAUGACUGCCAAGCCCUCUGUCAAAAGAAAGACAAGUCUUUUUGGCAGGCAGUAUGCAAAAUAAACUGAGCUGUUCUCCAGUAGCAACCCAGAAAGACUCCUGGAUUUUGCACUUUGUUCAUAAUUUGUAAGCAAAUACUCAAGCUAUCAAAAUGGAAAAAAAUAAUACCAAUAAUGUCUUUACCAUCUCUCUCUCUCUCU
Molecule: long non-coding RNA, 1886 nt
Organism: Meleagris gallopavo (turkey)
Lineage: Eukaryota; Metazoa; Chordata; Aves; Galliformes; Phasianidae
Source: Ensembl